UCGCACCUACCGAUUGGAUGGUCCGGUGAGGCUUUCGGAUUGUGAUGACGCUGCUUUCAUUAGCGGUAUCAUCGUGAGAAGUUAUCCAAACCUUACCAUCUAGAGGAAGGUG
This 112-nucleotide ribosomal RNA is filed under the name uncultured eukaryote. RNAcentral's name for it is "partial small subunit ribosomal RNA". It matches the Rfam family "Eukaryotic small subunit ribosomal RNA", at positions 1676 to 1785 of the family's 1831-position model. The record is from RNAcentral.